Molecule: transfer RNA, 71 nt
Filed under: Phycis blennoides
Lineage: Eukaryota; Metazoa; Chordata; Actinopteri; Gadiformes; Phycidae
Also listed under: 1 other name
Description: tRNA-Gln
Rfam family: tRNA
About the family: Transfer RNA (tRNA) molecules are approximately 80 nucleotides in length. Their secondary structure includes four short double-helical elements and three loops (D, anti-codon, and T loops).
Source: RNAcentral
UAGAGAGUGGUGUAGAGGAAGCACGAGGAGUUUUGAUCUCCUAGGGGAGGGUUCAAGUCCCUUCUUUCUAA